UGGGGAAUCUUGCGCAAUGGGGGCAACCCUGACGCAGCCAUGCCGCGUGAACGAUGAGGGCCUUAGGGUUGUAAAGUUCUUUUGCCCGUGACGAUGAUGACGGUAACGGGAGAAUAAGCUCCGGCUAACUUCGUUCCAGCAGCCGCGGUAAUACGAAGGGGGCUAGCGUUGUUCGGAAUUACUGGGCGUAAAGCGCGCGCAGGCGGUUCGAUAAGUUGGGGGUGAAAUCCCCGGGCUCAACCCGGGAAUGGCCUUCAAGACUGUCGAGCUAGAGGACGAGAGAGGUGAGUGGAAUUCCCAGUGUAGAGGUGAAAUUCGUAGAUAUUGGGAAGAACACCGGUGGCGAAGGCGGCUCACUGGCUCGUUUCUGACGCUGAGGCGCGAAAGCGUGGGGAGCAAA
RNAcentral lists this ribosomal RNA (400 nucleotides) under uncultured bacterium. RNAcentral's name for it is "bacterial SSU rRNA". It matches the Rfam family "Bacterial small subunit ribosomal RNA", at positions 355 to 772 of the family's 1533-position model. The record is from RNAcentral.